AGGGUAUUAUACACAAGAAAACCUUUUCUUAUUCUGCGUCUUGAUCGGAUUGGAGUUGAUCAACUCUUGUCUUCUCCCUUGAUCAGCAUCUGGUCCAAACUUGAUCUGCAUCGCAUUGACUCUUGAAUGUAACGAAUCCCUCUCAAACCUAAACUAUCAUUUUCCUUAUUAAUUUUACAACAAUAACCUUACAACUCAUAAAAUUAAUGAGACACACAGGUCUCCAAAUUACAUGAUUUAAUUGAUACACGCAAGGACCUAAAAAAAAUAAUCUAAUACUGGGUCCUUCUUAAAUUACAACAAUUCACAUCAUUACAUGAUACAUGCACAUCACAAGGUCGCUAUCCAUGAUCACCAUCUCAUACACAUCACAUGCAUAUAAUAUUAAAUUCUCUAAUUCGAAUUUAAUUAAUUGGGUUUCGGAUUAAUUAAAAAACAAAUCUUUAUUU
Molecule: long non-coding RNA, 449 nt
Filed under: Ananas comosus (pineapple)
Lineage: Eukaryota; Viridiplantae; Streptophyta; Magnoliopsida; Poales; Bromeliaceae
Description: long non-coding RNA (ACOM_LNC024090)
Source: RNAcentral